UGACGCGCCGAUAUUCAUGGUGGACACACCUGUUCCCAUCCCGCACACAGCAGUUAAGCACUAUAAAGCCGAAGGUAGCAAUCGAAUGUCAGAAUAGGUCGUGCGUCGC
Molecule: ribosomal RNA, 109 nt
Filed under: Mycoplasmataceae bacterium
Lineage: Bacteria; Bacillati; Mycoplasmatota; Mollicutes; Mycoplasmatales; Mycoplasmataceae
Source: RNAcentral